GCGUCCGUAGCUCAGUUGGUUAGAGCACCACCUUGACAUGGUGGGGGUCGGUGGUUCGAAUCCACCCGGGUGCACCA
This 77-nucleotide transfer RNA is filed under the name secondary endosymbiont of Ctenarytaina eucalypti. Its description in RNAcentral is "tRNA-Val (GAC) (tRNA-Val-GAC-1-1)". It matches the Rfam family "tRNA". From Rfam's summary of the family: Transfer RNA (tRNA) molecules are approximately 80 nucleotides in length. Lineage: Bacteria; Pseudomonadati; Pseudomonadota; Gammaproteobacteria; Enterobacterales; Enterobacteriaceae. The record is from RNAcentral.